ACGAUGUCAACUAGUUGUUGGGGAUUCAUUUCCUUAGUAACGUAGCUAACGCGUGAAGUUGACCGCCUGGGGAGUACGGUCGCAAGAUUAAAACUCAAAGGAAUUGACGGGGACCCGCACAAGCGGUGGAUGAUGUGGAUUAAUUCGAUGCAACGCGAAAAACCUUACCUACCCUUGACAUGGUCGGAAUCCCGCUGAGAGGUGGGAGUGCUCGAAAGAGAACCGGCGCACAGGUGCUGCAUGGCUGUCGUCAGCUCGUGUCGUGAGAUGUUGGGUUAAGUCCCGCAACGAGCGCAACCCUUGUCCUUAGUUGCUACGCAAGAGCACUCUAAGGAGACUGCCGGUGACAAACCGGAGGAAGGUGGGGAUGACGUCAAGUCCUCAUGGCCCUUAUGGGUAGGGCUUCACACGUCAUACAAUGGUCGGAACAGAGGGUUGCCAACCCGCGAGGGGGAGCUAAUCCCAGAAAACCGAUCGUAGUCCGGAUUGCACUCUGCAACUCGAGUGCAUGAAGCUGGAAUCGCUAGUAAUCGCGGAUCAGCAUGCCGCGGUGAAUACGUU
RNAcentral lists this ribosomal RNA (561 nucleotides) under Burkholderia cepacia. RNAcentral describes it as "bacterial SSU rRNA". It matches the Rfam family "Bacterial small subunit ribosomal RNA", at positions 806 to 1372 of the family's 1533-position model. Lineage: Bacteria; Pseudomonadati; Pseudomonadota; Betaproteobacteria; Burkholderiales; Burkholderiaceae. The record is from RNAcentral.